RNAcentral lists this small RNA (20 nucleotides) under Arabidopsis thaliana (thale cress). RNAcentral describes it as "ATSL234680". Lineage: Eukaryota; Viridiplantae; Streptophyta; Magnoliopsida; Brassicales; Brassicaceae. The record is from RNAcentral.
AAAAAAAAACUAAAAAAAAA